Gadus macrocephalus (Pacific cod) is the source of this 532-nucleotide long non-coding RNA. RefSeq lists it as uncharacterized. The record is from RefSeq and is a predicted model, not a curated record. The transcript is spliced from 3 exons. NCBI's taxonomy places the organism in Eukaryota, Metazoa, Chordata, Actinopteri, Gadiformes, Gadidae.
AAAGAUGACAAAAAUGCUUGCCGAAGUGCUGGUGGUUGUCAAUGAACUGUCAAGGGAUGUGCAGUUCAUCAAGGGUGAAUUGGCAGAGGCUAGAAUGACCCCAUCUUGUGGACCAGGGCCAGCCACAAGCCAAGAGAUGUUCCCCAUCCAGCUGCCUAACACCAACGAAGAUGACUUCAAUGAGGCCGAAACGUUGUUGGGAACUGAGCCAGUCCGACAAAAGAUGAUUGCCCGCUUGGCCUUGGUGGGAGGCACUAGCUCCACAUGUAUGGUAAGCAGGAUGCUUGCACCGGUUUUGACCAACGGCCUGGCCUGCAAGUUCAAUUGGGCAGGAAAAACCUGCACACAAAGGGAUGCCAAGCAGCCCUUCAAAGACACAGCCCUGCAAGACUGCAUGUUUGUUGCUUCUCGGCAGUGUGACCGCAAACUCACACAGCAGGCCUUCAGCGACAUUGUAAAAAAUUGGCUACGUUACGCCCCUUGGCGUGCAGGAGGCAUCAAGAAAAAGUAGAUGUAGGUGAAUUUGAUAUUC